Molecule: ribosomal RNA, 433 nt
Filed under: uncultured bacterium
Lineage: Bacteria
Description: partial 16S ribosomal RNA
Rfam family: Bacterial small subunit ribosomal RNA
Source: RNAcentral
AACGAACGCUGGCGGCAUGCCUAACACAUGCAAGUCGAACGAAGUCUUCGGACUUAGUGGCGCACGGGUGCGUAACGCGUGGGAAUCUGCCCUUGGGUACGGAAUAACUCAGAGAAAUUUGUGCUAAUACCGUAUAAUGUCUUCGGACCAAAGAUUUAUCGCCCAAGGAUGAGCCCGCGUAAGAUUAGCUAGUUGGUGGGGUAAAAGCCUACCAAGGCGACGAUCUUUAGCUGGUCUGAGAGGAUGAUCAGCCACACUGGGACUGAGACACGGCCCAGACUCCUACGCGAGGCAGCAGUGUGGAAUAUUGGACAAUGGGCGAAAGCCUGAUCCAGCCAUGCCGCGUGAGUGAUGAAGGCCCUAGGGUUGUAAAGCUCUUUUACCAGGGAUGAUAAUGACAGUACCUGGAGAAUAAGCUCCGGCUAACUCCGUG